GCGGUAAUAGCUCAAAUUUGAAAUCUGGCUCUAGGGUCCGAGUUGUAAUUUGUAGAGGAUGUUUCGGGUGCGCCCGCAGUUUAAGUUCCUUGGAACAGGACGUCAUAGAGGGUGAGAAUCCCGUCUUGAACUGUACGGCAAGUCCAUGUGAAACUCCUUCGACGAGUCGAGUUGUUUGGGAAUGCAGCUCAAAAUGGGAGGUAAAUUUCUUCUAAAGCUAAAUAUUGGCCAGAGACCGAUAGCGCACAAGUAGAGUGAUCGAAAGAUGAAAAGCACUUUGAAAAGAGAGUUAAACAGUAUGUGAAAUUGUUAAAAGGGAAGCGUUUGCAACCAGACUUGUUUCUAACAGUUCUACCGCAGUUCUCUGUGGCUUAUUCUGUUAGUCCAGGCCAGCAUCAGUUUGGGUGGCUCGUUAAAGACUUUGGGAAUGUAUCUACUCCUUCGGGUGUAGACUUAUAGCCCAUUGUGUAAUAGGGUCUACCUGGACUGAGGUACGCGCAU
Molecule: ribosomal RNA, 501 nt
Filed under: Neophaeomoniella zymoides
Lineage: Eukaryota; Fungi; Ascomycota; Eurotiomycetes; Phaeomoniellales; Phaeomoniellaceae
Description: partial 28S large subunit ribosomal RNA
Rfam family: Eukaryotic large subunit ribosomal RNA
Source: RNAcentral